Molecule: small RNA, 581 nt
Filed under: Pongo abelii (Sumatran orangutan)
Lineage: Eukaryota; Metazoa; Chordata; Mammalia; Primates; Hominidae
Description: processed transcript
Source: RNAcentral
CUUUCUCCUGGACCCCCUACACCCGCUGCCCCGGGAACACGUGGCCGGGAACAGUGACCCCCAGCUCCCACUCCGGGCUCCGCUGAGCUGGGCUGGGCCAGGCCAGGCCAGGCCGGCUUGGGGCUCUCCAGGGUCUUGGCCAACAGUCCUGUGGACAGCCCGGAAAGGCCUGCCUGUCCGGCUGGCCCAGCCUCUCAGCGGAAAACAAAGGCGCUUCAGACCCGGCUGGCUUCUGUCCUGCCUGAGAGGCACUGUGAGGGCGAGGGUCCAGAAUCCUGCCCACCCUCACACCAGGCUGCCCCCACUGCUCAUACGUGAGUAGAACCCAGGCUGGGACGUCGGAGCACAUUGAGGAGGCCGCCCCAGAGCCCAUGCAGCCAGGCCGAGAAGGUGAGCUCCCUGGGUAAGGACUGGCACAAGUUCUGCCUCAAGUGCGAGCGCUGCAGCAAGACGCUGACGCCCGGGGGCCACGCCGAGCAUGACGGGAAGCCGUUCUGCCACAAGCCGUGCUACGCCACCCUGUUCGGACCCAAAGGCGUGAACAUCGGGGGCGCGGGCUCCUACAUCUACGAGAAGCCCCU